Molecule: long non-coding RNA, 1937 nt
Organism: Strigops habroptila (Kakapo)
Lineage: Eukaryota; Metazoa; Chordata; Aves; Psittaciformes; Psittacidae
Source: Ensembl
UUUUUGUCUCUUUAUUUUUGCAGAGGCAGGGAGAGAACUGAAGUCUGAAUUGAGCUACAUCAAUUUUAUUGGUUUAACUCAGCACAUCCUUGUUGCACAGCUCUAGUCAUGGAGCUCUGUGAAAGUUAUACCUGACAAACAGUGAGUUAGAAAUUUAACGUGUGCAAACUUCUUCAUGGUAACAGGCCUACUUGCAUUCAGCCUAGGAAAUAGUGCUGUAGAAGCAUUGUUCAACUGAAUGUACUUAGCCCUAGGUAUGAAGGGCAAGAAAAAGCCAAGCUUCAGUCUUGAAACCCAGGCUGGGUUGGAAAUAUUGGCAGGGAAAACAAAACCCACUUGUUAUGUGAUCCUUCAGACAUCCCUAGAACCUUGGGAUAGUGUGUAUUUAACAUGUUUCUAAGUAUUUUAUGCCUUUUCUGCUCAUAUACUGGAGGUGCUAGUAGCAUUGAGUCACAGUAUCUGAGUACUUAAAAGGGAGAGAACUCUCCAGAAUGCUUUCUGGAUUUAUUUAUUUUCUUUAAAAAGCAUAGAAGUUACAAAGAACAGACACAGAUGCAAUCAGUAAACUUGUUCUGCACCAUCUGUUCCCCCUGCAUUCCCUUGUUAAGGCUGGUACAUUUGAUGCUAGCGAAACUGCAAAUUUCUGAGGCUUGAAAAUUGCAAGCAGAAGAAAAGUAGUUUCUUCUAAGGAAGGGGGUUACUGUUAUUAGUUAACAAGUGCUUGCCUGUUUAGGUUGGUCCCAUCUUUACAAUACAAUUCCCUUUAGACAUAAGAAAAAGCUUUUCACUGUGAGUUUGGUCAAACACUGGAGCAGGUUGCCCAGAGAGGUUGUGGAGUCUCCAUCCUUGGAGAUAUUCAAAAUACAAGUGGACACAGGCCUGGCAGGGAGGAUGGACUAGGCAAUCUAUAGAGGAGCAUUCCAGCUCUACUGCUCUGAUUCUUAAGUAUUUUCUGCUCAUUUUCCAGCCUGAAUAAUCUGCCUUUUUUUUUUUACUUUUUUCCUAGAAAAUCUCAUUUUAUCAUGACAAUGUGGGUUUGAUUCACACACCCUCAAUAUGGAAUGAUUUACUAAAUUGUUAGAUUUAAACAUACUUAAAAGUUGUCUUUGGAUUUGUAAUGCUUUCAGAAGCCAAAGUGCUGUUUUAUUUUCACAUAACCCAUAUAGCACAUUUUACUGGGUGUUUUAUCUCUCUAAUUUCCGAGAAAAGGAGAGAGCAACUCGGACUGUCACCCCUUUUGUCAGAAGCGAGUGAUCAAAGUUCAAGGUUUUGUGUUCUUCAGAGAGGCUGAUGAUGGAGGCUCAGGUAUCUCUGGAAUUCCUCUUAUUUAUAAAGAAUGUGCAAGAUCCUGUUUCCCUGAACACAAGGCAUUAAAUAGCUGAGAAUAGGGAUUUUGCUUGCAGCUCAAAGGCCUUUUAACCUAGAAAGUGUUUAGAUCAAAGAGCUCCCUUUCAGCUUUUUCUUAAGAGUGUGCUCUCAGGUAUUCUGAUGUCUGUUUUUUUCACUCGACUCCUUUGUUUCCUCCUGUUUUCUAUUUGAGGCAAUACCAGCACGUUUUUAAGUGUCUUUGCACGUUACUUUGUUUUGGACAAUAACAAGUUCCUCUGUUCCAGCAUGGAUAUGGGCGUUUAUGAGGAGGUUUAAUUGUUUGGACUCUCUUAAAAAUGCAGCAGUCAUACCCACCAGCUCAAUCCACCAGUAACUUAAAACAAUAGCUUAUCUUCUGCACAUCCUUAUCUGUGUUACAGUCCCAGUGACUUUCUGGGUUGCAUUAGUGUUGGUGUAAUAGCCUGGCUUAGAUUUGGAAAACAAAAGAAAGGAAGGUUUUGCAGUUUUACCAGUGCUGGCUCUCCCCGUGUUUUGCAGAAAGGCCACUACAAUAUAUCAACUUCUGUAUUGUAUAUGCUUGGGAAUACAAGGAAAUAAAUCAGGUAUUG